GAUGAACGCUGGCGGCGUGCCUAAUACAUGCAAGUCGAGCGAACAGACGAGGAGCUUGCUCCUUCGACGUUAGCGGCGGACGGGUGAGUAACACGUAGAUAACCUUCCUAUAAGACUGGGAUAACUUCGUGAAACCGGAGCUAAUACCAGCUAAUAUUUCGAACCGCAUGGUUCGAUAGUGAAAGAUGGCUUUGCUAUCACUUAUAGAUGGACCUGCGCCGUAUUAGCUAGUUGGUAAGGUAACGGCUUACCAAGGCAACGAUACGUAGCUGACCUGAGAGGAUGAUCGGCCACACUGGAACUGAGACACGGUCCAGACUCCUACGGGAGGCAGCAGUAGGGAAUAUUGCACAAUGGGCGAAAGCCUGACGGAGCAACGCCGCGUGAGUGAUGAAGGUCUUCGGAUCGUAAAACUCUGUUAUUAGGGAAGAACAAACGUGGAAGUAACUGUGCACGUCUUGACGGUACCUAAUCAGAAAGCAACGGCUAACUACGUG
This 497-nucleotide ribosomal RNA is filed under the name uncultured bacterium. Its description in RNAcentral is "partial 16S ribosomal RNA". It matches the Rfam family "Bacterial small subunit ribosomal RNA", at positions 28 to 507 of the family's 1533-position model. The record is from RNAcentral.